CGAGCACGGGCUAGAGCUGGGUUGGAUGGGACCCAGGCGCCGACGGGUUGGGCGAGCUCGAGGUCGAGAACGCCGACGCCUCGGCCUCGACGUCGACACGGCAGAAGCAGUCCCUUCUUGGAGUCCAGAGAGCUCAGGUCAUUGGAGGCACCGGCGCGGUCCUCUGCAGUACGCAGCUCCUCGGCGACCGCGGCAUGUAGCAUGUCAUGUCCUAGCAGUAGACAGUGACCUGAGCGCCACCAUCGCCGUCGUACACGGCGAAGAAGUGUCGCGGGGAUGCGGAAUGAGGUCGCUUAUUUGGUAGAAGCAUGGGACAACGACGAUGGCCUCCUCCAUCUCCGGGCAACGUCCGCAGCAGGACUCGAGACGCUUCCGCGUGCGCCACUAGAGACCGUCGUGGUCUCGGCGGCCACCGCAGACAGGACGUGGAGAGGAGAUAGGGCGGUCUGGCAUCGGCGGAGGCGACGCUGUUGCCGCGUCACUGGCAACGCAGCAAGCGCUCCCUCACGCGGACCCCCCCUUCGUCUGGCCCAGCGUCCCAACGAUGGCGAUGUAGCAGGCAGGCUAUCCGGGUGCCUGGCCGUCGCCGCGCGCGUCAACCUCCAUAGCCAGCCACCACUCGCGCUCGGCCUGCUACCGGUGACGCCCACCUCCAGCGCCGGCAAUCGGAACACCCACAGGUCCACCAUGGCCGACUCUAGGUCCUCGGCCCUCACGUCGCUCGCCACGUCCGGGCCGUUCUGCAUCAAUAAUCUUACCCAGCAGGCGAAAAAGAGGUAGGCCUUGUUACAGCCUAGCUUCUUGGAGCUGAGCACGGGCCUGUCGCAGCGGUCGUAGGCCUGCACUUGCACGCACUGGUUCUCCUCCGCCGUCAGGGCCUUGUCCAGUGCGAACGGCUAGCCGCAGCGCCAGCUCUUGCACCGCAUGAGCAGCCGGUGCUGCUUCAGCACCUGGUCCGUCNNNNNNNNNNNNNNNNNNNNNNNNNNNNNNNNNNNNNNNNNNNNNNNNNNNNNNNNNNNNNNNNNNNNNNNNNNNNNNNNNNNNNNNNNNNNNNNNNNNNNNNNNNNNNNNNNNNNNNNNNNNNNNNNNNNCAGGAGGGCGACCCCGACGAUGCAGACCAGCACGAAUGGAAGUAGGACGAACCAUCACUAAUGCGACCACGAAUGAACACGCAGCCCAAACCGGAAUGCAUGGAGCAACAACAGGAAAGGCGACUCCGAAUGAGUAAAAAAUCAAUUUGCAAACAGCCCGGAACAGUCUGGAAGUGAAACCCCCAGAACAUGCGGCAGAGGCGGCAACCGCCUGGAAAACGAAGCACCGACACACACGUAAUAAUGGGACAAAGUCAAAUUUGAAUCAGUCAUGCACGUGUCGCCUUCCCGUCGGGCCCAGGUGGGCACGGCUCGGUCCGGGUAUAUAUGGAUCCCACGCGGCUCCUCUUUCCCCCUGCUAGGUUUUCCGGCUUCCGCCGCUGAUCUGCGUCGCCACCGUUUUCCCAUUCGUCGCCUCGUUAGAUCUAGUCCUCCUCCUCCCCUUCUCCUUUCCUUUGCCGAGGUGCUCGCCAUGGAUAAGUCGCNNNNNNNNNNNNNNNNNNNNNNNNNNNNNNNNNNNNNNNNNNNNNNNNNNNNNNNNNNNNNNNNNNNNNNNNNNNNNNNNNNNNNNNNNNNNNNNNNNNNNNNNNNNNNNNNNNNNNNNNNNNNNNNNNNNNNNNNNNNNNNNNNNNNNNNNNNNNNNNNNNNNNNNNNNNNNNNNNNNNNNNNNNNNNNNNNNNNNNNNNNNNNNNNNNNNNNNNNNNNNNNNNNNNNNNNNNNNNNNNNNNNNNNNNNNNNNNNNNNNNNNNNNNNNNNNNNNNNNNNNNNNNNNNNNNNNNNNNNNNNNNNNNNNNNNNNNNNNNNNNNNNNNNNNNNNNNNNNNNNNNNNNNNNNNNNNNNNNNNNNNNNNNNNNNNNNNNNNNNNNNNNNNNNNNNNNNNNNNNNNNNNNNNNNNGGGAUCGUCUUGUGAGGUGGUCUCGGGCAGCAAGAGCCAGCGGGAGGAUUCCCCGGGCUCUGCGGUGGACCUGGAGCUCGAGGCUUCGCUCCGUUCCAAGUUGGAGGCGGAGCAGGCAGCUCGUGAGCAGGUGGCUCGCGACCGCGCGGCCUGGGCCGCGGGCCCGGAGUGGCUGCAGCGCUCGGAGCGGGAACGUGCGCCUGGAUCUGGUCCGCAGGGGUCCGGAUCUGGCCCAUAUCUCUCUCCGGCGGUGGAUCCGUGGGAGGCGGCGGUGUACGGUGGUGGGAUCUCAUCCUCGUCGGGCUCCCUGCCUGUCCCUGGCGCGGGGCGCGGCGCGCCUGCUCCGGCCCGUUUCCCCCCUCCCUCCCGCCCGGUUGGCACUGGUGCGGGGCCUCGCCCGUCGCCCCGGUCCUUUGCGGGGCCAGUGCGGAGGCCUGCCGGCCAUCUUCCGGGGUCCUCCUCCUCGGGGCUGGGGGACGGGCUCCUGCCUCCUUCCUUCCUCCUGCAGCCUCGUCCCAUCUCAUCCAACCCAAGCAACCCAUCUGCGCUCACCUGCUUCGCUUGUCAUAAGCCUGGUCACUUUCAGUCACGGUGCACCAACCCCCCGUUCUGCCUCAUAUGCCGAUCUGAUGGGCACCUCACUGUCAAUUACUUGAAUCGCCAGAAACCUCCCUCGAUCCUCCAGUUCGGUUUGGGGCUUCCUGGUUGCGCCUUCUUUGCUUUUGAUAGUGAUCUUCCUAUCCUGGAGGGGGCCCCCUCGCUUUCCAAUGCUGCCAUUGUUACUGUGAAGGAUCAAAAGAUUUCGUCUCAAAUUUGCUCGAAGGGCUUCGAAUCUGGGACAUAGAAGGGUGGGAUUGGCAAGUUGAUCAAGUGUCUGACUAUGAAUUCUCUGUUGUGUUCCCUUCCAAGGAUUUCCUGUGGGUGAUUGCCUUGUGCACUAGCUUCACCCUCCCCCUCAAUCAAUUGGUGGUCUCUGUCAAGCCGGCCUCGUGCAGUGGUAAAGCGGUUGGUCCUCUCUCUCAGGUCUGGGUUUUGGUUGACGAUUUGCCAGCAGGACUUCGCUCUUCUGCCUUUCUCAUGGCGUUUGGUGUUCUGAUUGGGAAACCUGUGGAGGUGGAUGUGGAGUCUCUGAAUAAGGUUGGUCCAGCUCGGAUUAAGAUUUGCUGUGUGGAUCCGGUUUGUGUUCAUGGAGCUAUCGAUGUUUUCCCCUCUCCCAACGGUGUCAGGCUCCGGGUGAGGGUGGAGGGUCGACUGCUUUCCAACCCCAUCCCCCCUCCUCCUCCCUCUAACCCCUCCGAUAAGCAUGAUAAGGAGGGGGGUGGUUCUUUGGGUGGUCAUAAUCAGAGUGAUGGAUCUAACUUGCAUUUCACCCAAUUUGAGUGGGAUGGUUUGGCUGAGUCUGAGCGGGAGUUGUUCCAAUCCCAAGCCCCUUCUGGCAUGGCUCCCCGCGAGCCGGUGGCGACCCCCCUGCUGAUCCUCUGAUGCCUGUUGCUGACGAUGUGCUGUUGAAGAACCUUCAUGUGUCGGCUACCCCUAUUUCUGGGGCCUGCUCCAACCUCCUGGCUCGCCCUAUUUCUCCCACUCGCUCUGGAAUUGAGGACCUGCCAGCUUCCCCUGGGCGUGAUGAGGUGGGAGCCCAGGCUAAGAGGAAGAAGAAGUCAUCAGUGCACAAGUUUUCGGCUAAGAGCAGGAAUUCAUCGGGCUCUAAGGAAUCCAUGACUGGGGUCUGCCGCCGCCUCGACAAGGACCUCGGAUCGAUGUCUCACUCGGGUACCAUUCCGGCGUCUCCCGUGGCUCGCUCUCCUGCGAUUCGGUCGCCCGCGUCCACGGCUCGCAAAGGAAGGUGGGUUGCUGAUUCGGGCGGCUCUAUCAUGGAGCGGGCGGAGAGGUGGGCUGCUGCUAAGGAUCUCCCUCCCCCAGGUAUUCAUCUUGGCACUUCUGUUUGUUCCUCCCUGCCUCGACUUGUUUUACCAUCUCUUUCCGAUGAUCACUUGUUAAAUAUUAUGUCGGAUGUGGGAGUGGCGGUAGAUCCCACGGUUGGUUCCCCUGGCUCUCUUCUUGCCACUAUUCGGGCUAACGAGGUGGCGCAGGCGGCCAUCGCUAAAGCUAAAGAGGCUAUUGUCUCUUUGGCUGCUGAUUCUGUUGGUAUCUGGGCUUCGGAUGCGGGUGGCCAUCCCCAGCCUAGCUCUUCUAGAAGGGGCCCUGCAAAAAGAUCUAAAUCCUGCGCGGUUCCUAGCAGGUCGACUCUUCGCAUUAAGAAUCUGUCUUAUAAAUGAGAGCCUUAUUCUGGAAUAUUAGAGGUUUCGGUGCUAGGGGGCGCCGAGACCAAAUUAAGGACUUGGUGCGUGCGGAUAAUAUUGAUUUGGUGGGGCUCAUUGAAACCUUUAAAGAAUCUUUUCCNNNNNNNNNNNNNNNNNNNNNNNNNNNNNNNNNNNNNNNNNNNNNNNNNNNNNNNNNNNNNNNNNNNNNNNNNNNNNNNNNNNNNNNNNNNNNNNNNNNNNNNNNNNNNNNNNNNNNNNNNNNNNNNNNNNNNNNNNNNNNNNNNNNNNNNNNNNNNNNNNNNNNNNNNNNNNNNNNNNNNNNNNNNNNNNNNNNNNNNNNNNNNNNNNNNNNNNNNNNNNNNNNNNNNNNNNNNNNNNNNNNNNNNNNNNNNNNNNNNNNNNNNNNNNNNNNNNNNNNNNNNNNNNNNNNNNNNNNNNNNNNNNNNNNNNNNNNNNNNNNNNNNNNNNNNNNNNNNNNNNNNNNNNNNNNNNNNNNNNNNNNNNNNNNNUUUCGUUGCUUUUGAUCAUGGGGUCUUCUGGGCUAGCACGGUAGUUUGUCACAAAGCCCUUAAUACUUUGUGGGAGUUUAUUGUGGUGUAUGGGCCGGCUGAUCAUUCGUUGUUGUCCUUAUUUAUAAACGAGCUUUCUGUGAAGAUCGAGUCUUGCAACCUACCGAUGGUUAUCAGUGGUGACUUCAACCUCCUCCCCUUUCCUUCUGAUAAAAGUAAUGAUAACUUCUCUUGGCCUUUGGCUAAUGCCUUUAAUUACUUUAUCAGCACCAACGCCAUCCGUGAGCUCCCUAGGGUUGGAGCCCGCUUCACUUGGUCCAACCACUAGGCCAACCCGAUUAGAUCUGUUCUUGAUAGAGUGUUCAUGUGUCCUAGGUGGGAUUCUCUAUUUCCUCGGGCCUCCCUCCUCGCUAAGUGCAUCGUUGGAUCUGACCAUGCCCCUCUUCUUCUUGAUGAUGGAAUGACCUAACUUAGACCCCCUGCUAGAUUCCAAUUUGACGCUUCAUGGCUGCUUGUCGAAGGUUUUAUUGAUAUGCUGGCCUCGAAGAUCUCCCUUCUUCUUUCCUCUAAUGCUCAUUCCUUUGGUCCUUUAGACAUCUGGCAUUCUUGUUCCUACAACUUGCGCAAAUUUCGUAGAGGCUGGUCUCGUAAUCUGCUAACCUGAAUGCCACUUCCGGGCCGGACGGCUUCUUGAUCCCUUUCUUUCAAAAAUUCUGGCCUCAGUUGAGGCAGCUGGUUUGCAGUGUUAUCUAGGGUUUUUGUCUAGGAACUAUUGAUAUUUCUCGUCUUAAUUACGCUAUUAUCUCCCUGAUCCCCAAGGUUAAAGGUGCUGAACUGAUCUCCCAGUUCCGGCCUAUUGCUUUGAUUAAUAACUUUGCCAAAUUCCCUGCUAAGGGCUUUGCUAAUCGUUUGUCCCCAGUUGCCCACAGGGUUAUCAGCCCCUUCCAGUGUACUUUCAUCAAAGGUCGCUUCAUUUUAGAUGGCAUCCUUUCUCUUCAUGAAAUUGUGCAUGAUUUACAUUCUCGUAACUCUAAAGCGAUCAUCCUAAAACUAGACUUUGAGAAAGCUUAUGACUAAGUCAGUUGGCCUUUUAUUAGGCAGGUCCUUCUUGCGAAAGGCUUCGACGCAUCUUAUGUGCACCGUAUCAUGCAGUUGGUCUUAGGUGGCCAUACUGCGGUUUCUGUGAAUGGUCAUAUUAGUAAAUUUUUUGCUAACGGCAGAGGCCUUCGUCAAGGGGAUCCUGCUUCUCCUGUUCUGUUCAAUUUUGUGGCCGAUGCCUUCUCUUGCAUUCUCUCUAGGGCGGCCCAGUAUGGUCAUAUCUUGCCGGUGGUCUCCCACUUAAUCCCUGAUGGGGUCACUCACUUGCAAUACGCUGAUGAUACUAUCAUUAUGGUUGAAUUGAAUGAUGCUUGCAUAGCCAACCUUAAGUUCAUCCUGUUAUGUUUUGAGGCGGUCUCAGGCCUGAAGAUUAAUUUUUCCAAAAGUGAGGUCCUAGUUACUGGUGUUGAUGAUUCGGAAGCCUUGAGAGUGGCUAGGUCACUAAACUGCUCCUUGGGUUCCUUCCCCUUCAAAUAUCUGGGACUUCCAAUUUCUCCUGUCAUGCUUCAUGCUAAGGACUUUGCUCCGGCUGUCUCUAAGGUGGGAAACAGGGUUCUUCCAUGGCGCGGGAGAUAUAACACCAACGCGGGCAAAGUUUCUCUCAUUAACGCCUGUCUUUCUUCCCUCCAUAUGUUCCUUAUGGGCUUCUACCUAUUAUCGGCUGGCAUUCAUGCCGGUUUUGACAAGCACAUGGGUGCUUUCUAUUGGAAUGCAGCUGAUAACAAGCGGAAGUAUAGGCUGGUUAAGUGGCAGCUAAUGUGUAGGCCUAAAAACCUUGGGGGUUUAGGCAUUAUUAACACGCUGGUGAUGAACAAAUGUUUGUUAAUUAAGUGGUGGUGGAAAAUCAUGACCAGUGGGGCCGAUUCUUUAUGGUAUUCCAUUCUUAAGGCUAAAUAUUUCCCUCAAUCUAGUCCUUUGUUUGCCGCGGCUAGGCCUGGAUCUCAAUUCUGGAAGAACCUUGUCAAAGUCAAACCUUUGUUCCUGGAACAUGUUAAGUUUAUCGUGGGUAAUGGUACCUCAGUCCGUUUCUGGCGUGAUUGGUGGUGUGGGGAUUCUCCUGUGGCUGUUAGUUUCCUGGUUAUGUUUUCGUACUAUCGGAAGCCGGAUAUCUCCAUCACGGAGGUGGCGACGAAUAAUUGGGACUUGGCCUUUCGCCGCUCCCUGUCUCCUGAAGAGUUGGAAGACUGGCAAAGUCUCUCUGCCUUCUUUCCUCUGCUCUCGAAGGCGCCGGAUUCUAAUGUUUGGCCCCAUUCGGCCUCUGGCCGGUUUUCUGUUAAAUCGUUAUACUCUAGGCUUAUUUGUGGUGCCUCUUCGAAUAGAUUUUCUUGCGUCUGGAGAUCCAAAGUCCCGCCUAAGAUUAAAAUCUUCCUCUGGCAAGCCUUCAGAGGUCGUCUCCCUGCGGCUCACCAAAUUCGAAAACGUAACGGGCCGGGCUCGGAGUUCUGUGCCCUUUGCGGUGCUUUGGAAAACACGAAUCAUAUCUUUUUUCACUGUGUGUUGGCUAAGCUGGUGUGGAGCUGUGUCCGGUCGUGGCUCCAGGUUACUUGGAACCCAUCUUCCUUCUCUGAGCUUAGAAGCCUCGCCAACAUGUUGGUUGGGGUCACUAAGAGGGUUUUCUGGGUUGGCUUGGGUGCCAUCUGUUAGGCUUUAUGGACUAUUAGGAACAAAUUUACUAUUGAACAUGUCUUUCCAUCUAAGGCUGUUGACGUUCUUUUCAAAUCAUGUAUAUUCCUGCAGUAGUGGAGAUUAUUGACUAAAGAGGACGAUCGGGGAGCUCUGGACCUGCUCAUCUCCGAAAUUCGGGCCUCGGCGUCCUACAUCUCCGGGCAGGAUCCUAACGUCUGACCUCGCUUGUCGUUGAUUCGUCGUUUUGGUUGAUGUGUGUCUUUUCUCUUUCCGGCCUGCGCGUUGAGUUUGGCAGGUUGCCAUGUACCCCUUAAACUUUUGUUUGCCUGGUCCCGAGUCUUCGUUUCGGUGGAUUAUCCCUGUUUCGCCCCCUGUUGGUGUUUGGGCCUGUGACUCUGGCUUGUGGCUUUAUUUAUAAAGUCGGGCUUAGGCCUUUUCUCUAAAAAAGAACUCUGGAACAACAUCAAAAGAAAUGAAUCUGUCUGUUCCCAGAACAAACAACUGUAAGAGGAUAACAUAGUGAACGAAAGCCCUAAGCUUGACGAAAAAAAUCUUUAUGCACCGGGUUGCGAAAUUCACAAGGCCGUAUAGUGGAGUAUAUUAUUAGUACAAAUUAAUAGCUGGGUACCAACGCCUUCCUCAAGAUGGUAAGGACAAUUAGAGUGAGCCCUCUAGCUGUAUCUUGUGUUGACCUGCUAGACCAAGUUUGUCAUAUGUAGUGAACUAAGCUUGGCUAGUCAUGAACUGAUGACCUCCAUCAGAUCCAAGCUAGUCGGGACUCGGAAGUACUUCAAAUGCAGCUCAAACUAAGUGGACUCUUGGGGGUAUCAUCCAAACUAUAGGAAUGCUGGUAUUUUAUAAUUGGCUUGAGCGCAAUAGCACAAUCUGUCAGACCAGUAGGACCAAAGUGUAAUUGUUUGUCCUAAAAUCGUACUGUAGCUGGGAGAGGUAGCCCGACGCAGGAGGCCUCGGCUCUUUCUCCUCCGGUCGGGGCGACGGUGCCUGCGCCUCCAGUGGCGCUGGGAGGGGGAGGCCUGGGGCAGGCGGCCCUGGCUCAUCCUCCCUCUUCGGUGGUCAGGAGGACCGCGUCUCCGUCGACGACGGCGCCCGUCUCAGCGCCGAGGGGUGGGGCGGGAGGAGGGCUAGGGCAGGCGGCCCCUGUCAUCCUCUCUCCCGUCGUGCCCAUGGCCCUGGGCCUCGGUGUGGGGCACUCGUCCGAGGGGCAUGGGAGCCCUCAGCCGCCUCCUCCAGUAACCUCGGUUGAUCCUUUGCGGGAUUCCGCGCGGGGCUUUACUAGGGAGGAGGUUGUUGCUUUUGGCGGGAUCCCUGACCCGGUCUCGAUGGGGAGACGGAUGAGUGCUCGCAUUUUGGUGCUUCCGGAGGUUGAUGACUUGCAGCAGAGGUGCGCUAUGAGGGCGGCCAAGCUUCAUGAUGCUGAGAUCUCUACUGGUAUGUCCAUCAACAUAUCUAAUUCUUUAUUGCAUUUUUCUCAUGAGGAAAUUAUAAAUAAUGCAAAUCAAUUAGGAGUUUCACUAGGGGCUACUGAUAGUGAGAUUUCCAAAUCGGUGAAUGAUAUGUUAGAUUUGGAGGCGGAGCGUGCCUUAGAGACUAUUCGUAAUCUCGCAGCGGUAAAACCCAUGAAUGAUGAUGAGAUCGAUGCGUUAGGGGUCAGAGUACUCGAUAACCUGCGUGCGGAUCUAGCACCCUCCAAUCAUGAGUCUGAGGACGAUGAUGUGCUCCUAGAUAAUGCAGUUGUUAGUACCGCUGAGCCCGAUUAUGAGGACCGGGUGACAGAACCUAGUAACCAAAGUGCAAGUGGAAACGGAAGAUUUAUCCUGACUCUGCAAUUCGUAGGAGUGCUAGGAUUCGGACUACUAAAGAAUUUCAUGAUGAAAUAUAAGAGGAAUCUUUUGGAAUAGCAGAGGUCUGAAAGACUUGGCUAAAAGAAGGUUUCUUGUUGAGGCAUCUCUGGAGCAUCGUUUAGAUUUUAUUGCUCUUUCCGAAACUGGUAGAGAUAACUUUGCGCCCCAGUUUCUUUCCUCUCUUGUGGGUGGUGUUGAUUUCGACUAGCAUUGCCUCCCUCCGCGGGGAAGAUCGGGUGGUAUCUUGCUGGGUGUGAGAUGCGAUUCGCUUGAGGUCCGAAGUGUAGUGAUGGGAGACUUCGCGGUUAAGUUUCGAGUCAGGUCUAGAGUUGAUGGGUUCAACUGGGCAUUGGUGGCGGUUUAUGGUGCCGCACAGCCCGAGCUUAAACCAGAAUUUCUGGCGGACCUUGUUUGAAUCUGUGGGUCCGAGCAGCUUCCAAUUUUAGUUGGGGGUGAUUUCAAUAUCAUUAGGAGGAGAGAGGAGAAGAAUAAUGAUAACUUUGAUGGCAGGUGGUCGUUUAUGUUCAAUACCAUUAUUGAAAGCUUGGCUCUGAGGGAGAUAGAGCUUUCUGGUAGGAAGUUUACCUGGGCUAGUGCUAUGCCAAAUCCGACUUACGAAAAGCUUGAUCGAGUUCUCGCAAGCGUGGAGUGGGAACAGAAGUUCCCUCUUGUUACGGUUCAAGCUCUCUCGCGGGGCGUAUCCGAUCACACACCCUUGUUCAUGGACUCGGGGGAGCCGAACCACGUGGGAAACAAGAACACCUUUUCAUUCAAGAUGGCUUGGUUCGAACGCGAAGGGUUCUUGGACCUGAUUGCCAGGGAAUGGGCUAAGGGUGCAGGAGGUAGGACUGUGGUCGAGCGUUGGCAGAAUAAGAUUAGGAAUUUGAGAAGUUUCUUAUGGGGUUGGGCUAAGCACCUUAGUGGGGUGUAUAAGAUUGAAAAGGAUAGGCUCCUUUCUCUUAUACAAACCCUAGACUUAAAGGCCGAAUCCACGAUUUUGCUGCCAGAUGAGCUUCAGGUUAAAAAUGAGGCAGAGAAGAGGUUGAAAGAACUUCUCCGCGAGGAAGAAUUGAAGUGGGCUUUGCGGGCUAAGGUUCGCAAAGUGGUCCAGGGGUACGCGAAUACUCAAUUCUUUCACUUGAUUGCUAAUGGUAAGCACAGAAAGAAGAUAAUCUUCCAGCUUGAACAAGAUGAGGGCGCUAUUGUAGGACAGGACAACCUAAAAAACUAUAUAACCGAGUAUUAUAGGCAGUUAUUUGGACCUCCGGAGGAUAAUUGUGUGUCCCUCGAUGAGUCCAGGACUGAGGAUGUGCCGCAACUUUCGGCUGCUGAUAAUUGGUUGCCCCGUUCUCAGAGAAGGAAGUGUUUGAUGCUAUUGCACAGAUGAAAAAUAAUAAGGCUCAUGGACCGGAUGGAUUCCCGGUCGAGUUCUACAAAAAGUGCUGCCACAUUAUUAAGGGGGAUUUGCUACCUUUGUUUCAUGAUAUGUUCGCUGGACAGCUUCACUUAUUUCACUUGAAUUUUGGAACUAUCAUGCUGCUUCCUAAGAAAACGGAUGCUGUGAGAAUUGAGCAGUUCAGGCCGAUAUGCCUUCUCAAUGUUAGUUUCAAAAUCUUUACCAAGGUCGGGACUAAUAGGCUCACACGGAUUGUGCAUUCUAUGGUGCAACAGUCCCAAACUGCUUUCAUGCCGGACAGAAACAUCCUUGAAGGGGUGGUUGUCCUUCAUGGAACGCUCCAUGAAAUCCUUUCCAAAAAAUUAGAUGGAGUAAUUUUUAAGGUGGAUUUUGAGAAAGCGUACGAUAAGGUCAAAUGUCCUUUCCUCCAGUAGGCAUUGCGUAUGAAAGGUUUUGAUGAAGCCUGGCGCCGCCAGGUUGAAUCAUUUACGCAAAAAGGGAGUGUGGGAAUUAAAGUGAAUGACGAUAUUGGUCAUUACUUCCAGACACAUAAAGGCCUAAGACAAGGAGAUCCAAUGUCCCCUAUCCUGUUUAACAUUGUGGUUGAUAUGUUAGCAAUUUUGAUUGGAAGGGCUAAGGAGAAUGGUCAAGUAGGUGGCUUGGUACCUCAUCUUGUUGAUGGAGGUUUAUCCAUUCUUCAGUACGCUGAUGAUACAAUCAUCUUUAUGGAGCAUGACUUGGCCAAGGCGAGAAAUAUGAAGCUGGUGUUAUGCCUUUUUGAACAAUUGACUGGGUUAAAGAUUAACUUUCAUAAGAGCGAGUUGUUCUGCUUUGGUAGAGCCAAAGAUGAACAGGAGGCUUAUAGGUAAUUGUUUGGGUGCGAGUUGGGGGAUUUACCUUUCUCUUACCUAGGUAUCCCAAUCCACCAUCGUAAGCUGACAAACAGAGAAUGGAAGUGCAUCGAAGACCGAUUUGAGAAGAAACUAAGUUGCUGGAAGGGCAAGCUCAUGUCAUACGGAGGCCGAUUAAUUCUGAUUAAUUCGGUGCUCACGAGUAUGCCUAUGUUUCUCCUAUCGUUCUUUGAAGUCCCAGUUGGUGUCAGGAAAAGACUGGACUUCUAUCGAUCUCAUUUCUUUUGGCAGGGUGAUGAACUAAAAAGAAAAUACCGGCUUGCUAAAUGGGAUAUCAUUUGCAGAACGAAAGACCAAGGGGGUCUUGGUAUUGAGAAUCUCGAAGUAAAGAACAGAUGCCUUCUCAGUAAGUGGUUGUGGAAGUUGUCAUCUGAGACUGAUGCCACGUGGGCGCAAAUCCUUCGCAGCAAGUACCUACAGACAAAAUCCUUGUCCCAGGCCACAGUCAGGCCGACUGACUCGCCUUUCUGGAAAGGACUGAUGAAAGUCAAACAAUCCUUGUUUAAUAGGACAAAGUUUGUCAUUGGUAACAGCGCCCGUACACGGUUCUGGGAGGAUACUUGGCUCGGCGACUCACCCUUGGCCAUUCAAUAUCCGUCUUUAUGUCGUAUUGUUCAACGACGUGAGGUGUUCGUUGCAACGGUAUUUCAAUCUAUCCCCCUUAAUAUUCAGUUUAGAUGGUCGCUAGCGGGCAAUCGUUGGGAAGAAUGGCUCCGUCUAGUUAGAAGACUGAUGGAGGUUCAACUUUCUCAACAACCUGAUGAAUUACGCUGGAAACUGACUAGGUCUGGAGUUUUCACAGUUAAAUCAAUGUAUAUUGAUGUUAUUAAUUCAAACUCCGUUCCUACCUCCAAGCAUGUUUGGGCUGUCAAAGUUCCAUUGAAAAUAAAAGUGUUUAUGUGGUUUGUUCAUAAACAAGUUAUUUUAACCAAGGACAACUUGAUAAAGCGUAAUUGUACGGGACCUACUAGGUGUAGUUUCUGUGAUUGGGAUGAGACGAUCAAACACCUCUUUCUUGAUUGACCGUUGGCCAAGGUCCUUUGGCGGACGGUCCACAUUGCUUUUAAUAUUACUCCACCGAAUUCUGUCAACAACUUAUUUGGGACAUGGCUUAAUGGGAUUGAGCCUGACUUAGCGAGUCAGAUUCGUGUUGGAGUUUGCGCUUUGUUGUGGACUAUUUGGAAUUGCAGAAAUGAUUUGGUUUUUAACAGAACAUCACGUAUUCACUUUUUGCAGGUUAUUUUCCGGGCCACGGCAUUGAUCCAUUCGUGGUCGCUACUCACUCCGAUGGAGGCCAGGGAGCAUUUGGUUACUGGAUCCAUCCGCUGGGAGAUGGUAGCUCGGGAUAUCUUCAACCGGUUUGGAUGGCGGUCAUGUAAUAGGAUAGGCAAUUAGUUACCUAUCUAUCUUUAGCCAGCCGGUUGUGGUGUCUUUGUCUAGCUAGUUUGUAUUUCUAGCCCUUUUUGGCUCUGCGUGAGCUUUCUUUUCAGUUUUUUUACUGUUGGAGACUUUGGCACCUUGUUUGGAACCUUUUUAUUUGAUUAAUAAGAUGGCCGUAUGCAUCACUCUGAUGCAGAGGCCUGGGAGAACCCCCUUUUCGAAAAAAAAAAGUAAGUUCAGCAAACAUCUAAACACAUCAAAGACUUUUUUUCUCGAAUACGCACAAGCAUGCGUAUCAUAUAUUAAAGAAAGAACACACACAUCAGAGAUGAUUCUUAGCAUUAUCACCCAAAGUACUAUGGGAAUGUUAGAACAUAUAAUUGGCUUGAGCAUAAUAGCACAAUCUGCCAAUACAGCAGGAGCCAAACUGCAAUGUUUUAUCACCAAAUUGUAUUCUAACAAGAACAACAAUUCCCCUUAUUCAGCAAGUGUUGGGCAAGCACCUAUUUGGAGUUUCGGACACAUCAGAGACUAGGAAUGCAAAGCUGCAGAGGGAGACUGACCUCUCAUUUGUGUCCUGAUCAGAGUCAUGGAUAUUCAAAUGGAAGUGUACACGACGUUGUCCCACUUAUUGGCGGCGAGCUCGCUGACGAGCUUGAGGGCCUCGGUGGUCGUCUCAAGCAAGCCGAUGCAGACGACGUUUGGUUUUAUUGUUGUUUACAAUCAUUAGUUCAUAUCUAGACUCUCAGACGAGUACCUUCAUUUGGCCAAAAUGGGGGUCCUCUCCGGUGGUGGAUGGAUGAUACUGUGACGACGUCUGACCUCUCCGAAGUAGAGAUCAUAUUCUUCCAAUGGAUGCAUGUUUUCACAUCUAACACACAGUUUUUCCCCUCUACAUUGGUCAUUUAUUGCUUCGGUGAUUGAGUGACACGUCAUUUUCAAGUUGUGUGCGUCUUUUUGUUUGUUCUUGUGUGCGUUUUUGCACACUUAUUUCUUGAGAUAUGUUCCCUGUUUAUGGUCAAGUCAUUUGUGGUUUUAUCAGUUUAAGAGCAUCUCUACCAGACCCCGCAAAAGCUAAUUUGUCAUGGAGUAGAUUGUUCUUAGUAAAAAAGGGGAUGUGCCACACCUCUUCCCACUUGAUCUCGUCGUUCUCACCCGACCCGAUGCCACCGCCACUUGCCUCACCCCGGCCUUUCCCGGUCCGAUGCCCCCAGGAAUGCACAUCCCCCACUCUUCGAACCGCGGGGUGCCAUCAUCGGCGCUAGUCCGAUGGCUAAUUAGGCUCCCCAAGCACCUAAGACAACACCAAUGCAAAAACAUCAUCAUGAAUCUCCGUCACCAACAGCGGUGGCCGCUCGCUCUGUCGCCAUCAUCGGAAUGUCCUUGGCCUAGCAGACCAGCAAACGGGAGCAUCGGCCUUCGACCAAGGCAACGGACAUCACGAUGGUGCCGGUAAAGAAGAAGAAGAUGACGCUCGCACUGACGUCUUCCCCUUGGCUUCAUGCAACCGUGCCACCACCCACUCAACCUCUGAGGGCCGAAGAGGAGCCCGAUUUGGACGAGACAAGGAGUGAGGUCGACACACUCGACAAAAAGCCCGCAGGGUCUUUUUCACAAUUUCUCAAAUGAUUGAUGCAUGAUGUGAUCCUAGUUGUUAGGUUUUUCCUUUGCUAUUGCAGUGAGCGAUUGAGAAAUGAUCCAGACGUUGUUAUAGAAUAAUUGAAUGCAAGCCAAACACUCGGCCUUGACGACAUUGCCGUGCCCAUGCCUUAUAGCCAAGAUAUGAUGAGAAAAUUAAACAAGCAACACACUCGGCCUUGACGACAUUGCCAUGCCCAUGCCUUAUAGCCAAGAAAUGAUGAGAAAAUUAGACAAGCAACACACUCAGCCUCGAUGACAUUGCCAUGUUCAUUCAGUGCCUUUUAGCACAAAUUAUGAUCACGUUUUAGUUGUUUGUUGGAUUGGAUGCAGUUUACUUGUCCUCUUAGUUGAAUUAUGAUGGGGUGCAUUUAAAUUGUUUAUGUUUGUAUUGAAAUGUGAUGCACUUGUUUGAACUGUUUGCGCAAGCAUUUCAAUGAAUUGGCAAAAUUAAAAGUUUGGGAUAUGGUAGAUGAUGGGAAGUUUAAUCCCUAAAAAUAGCUUUUUCUUGGAUGGGGAUUAAAUUAUAGAGGAUAUGCUAGCGAUGCUCUAGUGUCGGAUGUAAUUCCUUUUGUUUAAAUAAUGACCAACAUUAAUAGCCGGCCACCGAGAUGGGGCGUUACUAUAGGUGUGACGAUUUUUAGAAUUUCUCUUGAACCUGAAGUUGUAUUACCUCUGAGACUAUUUAUGACUUCCUCUUCCAUGAUACUUUGUCUUCUGUAGUGGAGUACAUGACAUUGUUUAGUGCACUUGUGUUCAAUCUACGAUGCGAUUGUUUAGUGAAUAAUAUAGCACUCGCAACGAGGUGUGAGCCAUCCUUCACUUUUAUCAUCAUUGUAUAUUGUACUUUUUACCCUUUUGAAGUAACCAUGGUGCGUAUAAAUCUAUCAAUCCACCAAAGUCACUUCUCUUGAUGCACCUUACCAGGACAAUUAAGAUCAACAAAUAUCUAAUGCAGAUAAUUUUCAUCCAUCCCGUGAGUAAAGUCAUACCUACUUGUCUGACAUAUCGUGCAUUAUUUCUUUCUACAUAUGCUAGACGAAGGAUGCCAUGCAAUGAGUGGCCCGUGUAGUGAAGCUAGCAAAGAUGCAACACAUUAUCCUCUUGUAUUGGAUUUUUCACCCACCCUCACGAAAAUAUCACAUCUUUGAGCGGAAAGGCAACUCUGGAAUAUGAUAGUACCUUCGGGAUGUGAGACAUUGGGAAAACAAUUCAAUCUAGUCGCCCAAUUUAGAGUACGAGACUUUUUCUUGGGGCUUAAAUCUGAUGAGUUUGAUGCACACCAUCCAUCUUCUAAAUUGUGUCUAUCUUCUUUCCCCGAUUCGGGACCGAAGAGUACACACCACUCCUCCAUCUGAUGACUUUGCUGAUGGGUGACGGUCCACAAGUUGAGCUCCAUUUGGUAACCCUUUCCUUGGUGUGCGCCUCGUGUGGGCUAACUAGUUGAACAAGAAAAGUGGGUGCAAGUUGCUUGGUCCGCCAAGGUGGUUGCUUGCCUGAGCCCAAAGAGCAUUAGUGAGAAUGGCCACCAUGGAGCAACCAUCUGAUCUUUUUCUUUACCAGAGGAAACUGAGGUUGUCUUGCUGAAUUCCUUCCUUUCUCAUUUCAAUCCUCGCCCUUUCCAUCUUCCAUAGGGACCCUUAGUCUUUUGAUUAAAUGCUAUAUGUGAAGUUCAAUAAAUGUUCAUUUGCUUCGUGUGUGCUUAUCUGUCCGUUUUGAGAUUAUAACAUUUCGGUUUGGAUAGAAUCUUAGGAGUAUUUGGAUGUGGUAUGUCGCUUAAGCUAACCCUAAUUUGAAUCCAUAUCCUCCUACGCCGAACAUGGUUUCAAUAGGCAAAUAUCAAAAGAAGAAAAUGAAUUCACUCAUAUGUCAAUUUUGCAAAUGAGAUUCUCACUCUAGCAACAACAAAAUAAUCAAUCCCACAACCACACACAAGCAUUCUAUUUAUUUCAUACUUCCAAAGCAAGAAAAAUACAACGUCUGCAGAAGCAUAUUAGUAUAUACUGUGUGCUUCAUACAGAGCAACAAUGACUGACCAAUGUACAGAUGCAGAAUAGCAAGAGAGAUUUCAGGCUCAAUAGAAACUCUGCACGAAAAAUGGCGGGUUGGUUCUGAACUUUGAAUAAAUUGUAUGCAAGAAUUUUAAAUCAUGAGAGAAGGAAGUUGUAAUUGUUCGCUUUAGUGCCACACAUAGCAGGGCCAGCAGACCUGAACACAGUUAAUGAUCUAGAUGACUCUGAGUCUCGAUCUGGAUACAUAUUGAAAGUGGGAGCAUUUAGCUAGAGUAGCUCCGUGCAGAGCAUUGUAGACAUCAAAAUUUGCAAAAUACAUACGGAUCUGAAUAUGGCAGACCCGUUGACUAAACUUCUCUCACAAGGAAAACAUGAUCACACCUUAGUACUCUUUGGAUGUUAAUCAGAUGGCGAUGUGAACUAGAUUAUUGACUCUAGUAAACCCUUUGGGUAUUGAUCACAUGGCGAUGUGGACUAUAGAGUGUUAAAACACAUGACGAUGUGAACUAUUGGUGUUAAAUCACAUCACGAUGUGAACUAGAUUAUUGACUCUAGUGCAAGUGGGAGACUUGAGGAAAUAUGCCCUAGAGGCAAUAAUAAAGUUAUUAUUUAUUUCCUUAUAUCAUGAUAAAUGUUUAUUAUUCAUGGUAGAGUUGUAUUAACCGAAAACUUAGUACAUGUGUGAAUACAUAGACAAACAGAGUGUCCCUAGUAUGCCUCUACUUGACUAGCUUGUUUAUCAAAGAUGGUUAUGUUUCCUGACAGCAGACAUGUGUUGUCAUUUGAUGAACAUGAUCACAUCAUUAGAGAAUGAUGUGACGGACAAGACCCAUCUAUUAGCUUAGCAUUAUGAUCGUUACAGUUUCAUUGAUACUGCUUUCUUCAUGACUUAUACAUGUUCCUCUGACUAUGAGAUUAUGCAACUCCCGAAUACCGGAGGAACACCUUAUGUGCUAUCAAACGUCACAACAUAACUGGGUGAUUAUAAAGAUGCUCUACAGGUGUCUCCGAAGGUGUUUGUUGGGUUGGCAUAGAUCGAGAUUAGGAUUUGUCACUCCGUGUUUCAGAGAGGUAUCUCUGGGCCCUCUCGGUAAUGCUCAUCACUAUAAGCCUUGCAAGCAAUGUCACUAAUGAGUUAGUUGCGGGAUGAAGUAUUACGGAACGAGUAAAGAGACUUGCCGGUAACGAGAUUGAACUAGGUAUAAUGAUCGAUGAUCGAAUCUCAGGCAAGUAACAUACCGAUGACAAAGGGAACAACGUAUGUUGUUAUGCGGUUUGAUCGAUAAAGAUCUUUGUAGAAUAUGUAGGAGCCAAUAUGAGCAUACAGGUUUGGCUAUUGAUUAUUGACCGGAGAUGUGUCUUGGUCAUGUCUACAUAGUUCUCGAACCCGUAGGGUCCGCACGCUUAACGUUCGAUGAUGAUUGGUAUUAUGAGUUUAUGUGAUUUGAUGUACCGAAGGUUGUUUGGAGUCUUGGAUGAGAUCAUGGACAUGAUGAGGAGUCUCGAAAUGGUCGAGACAUAUAGAUUGAUAUAUUGGACCAUGAUACGUCUCCAACGUAUCUAUAAUUUUUGAUUAUUCCAUGCUAUUAUAUUACCCCUUUUGGAUGUCUAUGGGCUUUAUUUUACACAUUUAUAUCAUUUUUGGGACUAACCUACUAACUGGAGGCCCAGCCCGUAUUGCUGUUUUUUUGCCUAUUUCAGUAUUUCGAAGAAAAGGAAUAUCAAACAGAGUCCAAAUGGAAUGAAACCUUCGGGAACGUGAUUUUUGGAAUGAACGUGAUCCGGGGAGCUUGGAGUGCAAGUCAAGAAGCAGCCGAGGAAGCCACGAGAUAGGAGCCCCCCCCACCCCCGUAGGGCGCGCUCCCUGUCUCGUGGGCCCCUCGGGCGGCCACCGACGUACUUCUUCCUCCUAUAUAUACCUACGUACCCCGAAAACAUCCGGGGGCACCACGAAACACAAUUUCCACCGCCGUAACCUUCUGUAUCCGCGAGAUCCCAUCUUGGAGCCUUCGUCGGCACUCUGCGGGAGGGGGAAUCGACCAUGGAGGGCCUCUACAUCAACAUCCUUGCCUCUCCGAUGAGUUGUGAGUAGUUUACCAUAGACCUACGGGUCCAUAGUUAUUAGCUAGAUGGCUUCUUCUCUCUUUUUGGAUCUCAAUACAAUGUUCUCCCCCUCUCUUGUGGAGAUCUAUUCGAUGUAAACUCUUUUUGCAGUGUGUUUGUCGAGAUCUGAUGAAUUGUGGGUUUAUGAUCAAGUUUAUCUAUGAAUAAUAUUUGAAUCUUCUCUGAAUUCUUUUAUGUAUGAUUGAGUUAUCUUUGCAAGUCUCUUCGAAUUAUCAGUUUGGUUUGGCCUACUAGAUUGGUCUUUCUUGCCAUGGGAGAAGUGCUUAGCUUUGGGUUCAAUCUUGCGGUGUCCUUACCCAGUGACAGAAAGGGUUGCAAGGCACGUAUUGUAUUGUUGCCAUCGAGGAUAAAAAGGUGGUGUUUAUAUCAUAUUGCAUGAGUUUAUCCCUCUACAUCAUGUCAUCUCGCUUAAUGCGUUACUCUGUUCUUAUGAACUUAAUACUCUAGAUGCAUGAUGGAUAGCGGUCGAUGUGUGGAGUAAUAGUAGUAGAUGCAGGCAGGAGUCGGUCUACUUGUUAUGGACGUGAUGCCUAUAUACAUGAUCAUGCCUAGAUAAUCUCAUAACUAUGCGCUUUUCUAUCAAUUGCUCGACAGUAAUUUGUUCACCCACCGUAAUACUUAUGCUAUCUUGAGAGAAGCCUCUAGUGAAACCUAUGGCCCCAGGGUCUAUCUCUUAUCAUAUUUGCUUUCAAUCUACUUUUAUUUGCAUCUUUACUUUUGCAUCCAUAUUAUAAAAUACCAAAAUAUAUUUAUCUUAUCAUACUAUCUUUAUUAGAUCUCACUUUCGCAAGUGGCCAUGAAGGGAUUGACAGUCCCUUUAUUGCGUUGGUUGCGAGUUCUCAAUUUGUUUGUGUAGGUGUGUGGGACUUUUGAGGAGCCUCCUACUGGAUUGAUACCUUGGUUCUCAAAACUGAGGGAAAUACUUACGCUACACUUGUUGCAUCACCCUCUCCUCUUCGAGGAAAACCAACGCAAGCUCAAGACGUAGCAAGAAGGAUUUCUGGCGCCGUUGCCGAGGAGGUCUUCGCUCAAGUCAAGACAUACCAAGUACCCAUCAUAAACCCAUCUCCCUCGCAUUUACAUUAUUUGCCAUUUGCCUCUCGUUUUCCUCUCCCCCACUUCACCCUUGUCGUUUUAUUCGCCCUCUCUUUCUCAAUCUCCUCCUCUAUUUUUUUGCUCGCUUUCUUCCGCCUUGAUUUUGUUUGCCGCUAUGUCUAAAAUUGGGGGGAUUAUCGUCGAUAUGGACAAUAAUGAUAAUAUAGAAAAUCCCGAGGCUCCGGCCGAUGAACCCCCUAUCUUGCAUACUAAAAAGUUUUGAAUCGGUAGUGGUAACAUCAUUGGCAAAGGUGUUAUUCAAGAUUUCUUUACUUGUGCCGGUGCUUUACCUUCCAUGGGUUGUUCUAUUCUUCAUAGAACUAGUAGUCUUGCGGAUGCUAUCGCUAUGCUUGUAGUUGAACUUGAAAGACAAUUUAUGCAUAUGCAUCCUUGCAUACAAAGAAUUUUCCUAGAAUUCUCUAAUAUUGAGCAUUCUUCUGUUAAUCAUGCUGUUACUAUCUUUUUGGCUGAUGAGUUUAGAUUUAUCAUAAGAGAGGCCAAAGAAAUCUUUGCGCACUAUAGGGUGGACGCCGGUCGUCCUCCCAUAGAGGCUAUCCUCUAUGAUCAAGAGGAAUUUAGACGUUUUCAAUCUUCGGACUAUGUUGCUUUUAAUGAAAACCUUAGAAAAAAGGUUCCUACCAAUGUCUUGGUUGAUUGCAUUAACGAGCUUAAUAAUGAUUUUUCCUUCGAAACAAUGAGCUAGGAUACUCUCUUGAGUAUAGGCUCACAAGGUUUUGCCAAAAGAAUGCUUUUAGUGAUGAAAUAGUUGUGCACUAUGAAGGGCCAAAGGAGGAACUCGUUCCUCCUGUGAUUGAUCUUGGGGACCUUUGUCCCACUAAAUUUAGCCCUUUUGAUUACUUUUGUUUGCCUCAAAGAAAACUUGCUGCCGAACGUAGAGAAUAUGAGAUGAGCUUUCAAGAUAUAUCUUAUUAUUAUGGCACUACUUAGAUCUAUCCUUGCUUUUAUGCCUAGUUAGGGGCGUUAAACGAUAGCGCUAGUUGGGAGGCAACCCAAUUUUUCUUUAUGUUUUUUUGUUUUUGCUCCUGUUUAGUAAUAAAUCUUGCAUCUACCUUCUGGUUAGAUGUGUUUUUAUCUUUUAAUUAGUGUUUGUGCCAAGUAGAACCUAUAGGAUAACCUACGAUGAUAGUUGAUUUGAUUCCGCUGAAAAACAGAAACUUUGCACGCAGGAAUAUAAUUUUAUUAAAUCACAGGAACGUGCUUUUGCGUUGAUUCUUUUUUCUUAUGUUAAAUAAACAAAUUGUCCAGGACUUCCUAUUUUGGUAGGAUUUUUCAGGUUCCAUAAGUUUGCAUUAGUUACAGAUUGCUACAGACUGUUAUGUUUUUGACAGAUUCUGUUUUUCGUGUGUUGUUUGCUUGUUUCAAUGCAUCUAUGGCUAGUAAAUUAGUUUAUAAACCAUAAGGAAGUUGGAAUAUAGUAGGUUUAACACCAAAAUAAAUAAAGAAUGAGUUCAUUGCAGUACCUUAUGUGGUGGUUUUGUUUUCUUUCACUAACGGAGCUUAUAAGAUUUCCUGUUGAGUUUUGUGUUGUGAAGUUUUCAAGUUUUGGGUAAAGCUUUUAUGGACUAUGGAAUAAAGGGUGGCAAGAGCCUAAGCUUGGGGAUGCCCAUGACACCCCAAGAUAUUCAAGGAUAUCCAAAAGCUUAAGCUUGGGGAUGCCCCGGGAAGGCAUCCCCUCUUUCGUCUUCGUUCAUUGUUAACUUUACUUGGAGCUAUAUUUUUAUUUGCCACAUGAUAUGUGUUUUGCUUGGAGCGUCGUGUAUUAUAUUAGUCUUUGCUUUUUAGUUUACCACAAUCAUCCUUUCUGUACACACCUUUUGGGAGAAGCCUAUUUGAUUAGAAUUUGCUAGAAUACUCUAUGUGCUUCACUUAUAUCUUUUGAGCUUGAUAGUUUUUGCUCUAGUACUUCACUUAUAUCUUUUAGAGCACGGUGGUGUCUUAAUUUUGAAGAAAUUGCUAGCCUCUCAUGCUUCACUUAUAUCUUUUUGAGAGUCUCUUAGAACAGCAUGGUAUUUGCUAUGGUUUUAAAGUUGAUCCUAGAAUGAUGAGUAUCCAAGUUGGGUAUAAUAAAAACUAUCAUAGAAAGUGAAUUGGAUGCUAUGAUCAACUUGAUGCUUGAUAAUUGUUUUGAGAUAUGGAGGUAGUGAUAUUAAAGUCAUACUAGUUGGGUGACUAUGGAUUUAAAGAAUGCUUGUGUUGAAGCUUGUGAUUCCCGUAGCAUGCACGUAUGGUGAACCGCUUUGUGAUGAAGUUGGAGCACAAUUUUAUUUAUUGAUUGUCUUCCUUAUGAGUGGCGGUCGGGGAUGAGCGAUGAUCUUUUCCUACCAAUCUAUCCCCCUAGGGGCAUGCGUGUAGUACUUUGGUUUUUCAUGACUUCUAAAUUUUUGCAACAAGUAUAUGAGUUCUUUUGAUUAAUGUUGAGUCCAUGGAUUAUACGCACCCUGUCACCCUUUCACCAUUGCUAGCUUCUCUUGUACCACGCAACUUUCGGCGGUACCAUAUAUCCACCAUUUACCUUCCUCAAAACAGCCACCAUACCUACCUAUUAUGGCAUUUCCAUAGCCAUUCCGAGAUAUAUUGCCAUGCAACUUUCCAUCGUUCCGUUCAUAUGACACGCAUUACUUUUGUCAUAUUGCUUUUUGCAUGAUCAUGUAGUUGACAUUGUAUUUGUAGCAACGACACCUUCAUAAUUUUCAUAUAUGUCGCUCUUGAUUCAUUGCAUAUCCCGGUACAGCGCCGGAGGCAUUCAUAUAGAGUCAUAUCUUGUUCUAGCUUUGAGUUGUAAAUCCAUAAAAGUGUGAUGAUCUUCAUUAUUAGAGCAUUGUCCUAGUGAGGAAAGGAUGAUGAAGACUAUGAUUCCCCCACAAGUCGGGAUGAGACUUCGGACUUGACAAAAAAAAGAGAAAAAAAAAGAGAAAGGCCAAAAGAAAAGAAAAAAAGAAAGAAGAAAAAAAUAAAAUGAGAGAAAAAGAGAGAAGGGACAAUGCUACUAUCUCUUUUUCCACACUUGUGCUUCAAAAUAGCACCAUGAUCUUCAUGAUAGAGAGUCUCAUAUGUUGUCACUUUCAUAUACUAGUGGGAAUUUUUCAUUAUAGAGCUUGGCUUGUAUAUUCCAAUGAUGGGCUUCCUCAAAAGUGCCCUAGGUCUUCGUGAGCAAGCAAGUUGGAUGCACCCUACUUAGUUUCUUUUGUUGAGCUUUCAUAUAUUUAUAGCUCUAGUGCAUCCGUUGCAUGGCAAUCCCUACUCACUCACAUUGAUAUCUAUUAAUGGGCAUCUCCAUAGACCGUUGAUACGCCUAGUUGAUGUGAGACUAUCCUCUCCUUUUUGUCUUCUCCACAACCACCAUUCUAUUCCAUAUAUAGUGCUAUGUCCAUGGCUCACGCUCAUGUAUUGCGUGAAAGUUGAAAAGUUUGAGAUUAUUAAAGUAUGAAACAAUUGCUUGGCUUGUCAUCGGGGUUGUGCAUGAUUAAAUACUUUGUGUGAUGAAGAUAGAGCAACAGCCAGACUAUAUGAUUUUGUAGGGAUAACUUUCUUUAGCCAUGUUAUUUUGAGAAGACAUGAUUACUUUGAUUAGUAUGCUUGAAGUAUUACUAUUUCUUAUGUCAAUAUGAACUUUUAUUUUGUAUCAUUUGGAUCUGAACAUUCAUGCCACAAUAAAGAAAAUUACAUUGAGAAUUAUGCUAGGUACCAUUCCACAUCAAAAAUUCCUUUUUUAUCAUUUACCUACUCAAGGACGAGCAGGAAUUAAGAUUGCGGAUGCUUCAUACGUCUCCAACGUAUCUAUAAUUUUUGAUUGUUUCAUGCUAUUAUAUUACCCCUUUUAGAUGUCUAUGGGCUUUAUUUUACACAUUUAUAUCAUUUUUGGGACUAACCUACUAACCGGAGGCCCAGCCCGUAUUGCUGUUGUUUUUUUGCCUAUUUCAGUAUUUGAAGAAAAGGAAUAUCAAACUGAGUCCAAACGGAAUGAAACCUUCGGGAGCGUGAUUUUUGGAACGAACGUGAUCCGGAGAGCUUGGAUUGCAAGUCAAGAAGCAGCCGAGGUAGCCACGAGAUAGGAGGCCGCGCCCCCUGUCUUGUGGGUCCCUCGGGCGACCACCGACGUACUUGUUCCUCCUAUAUAUACCUACGUACCCCGAAAACAUCCAGGGGCACCACUAAACACAAUUUCCACCGCCGUAACCUUCUGUAUCCGUGAGAUCCCAUCUUGGAGCCUUCGCCGGCACUUUGCUGGAGGGGGAAUCGACCACGGAGGGCCUCUACAUCAACAUCCUUGCCCCUCCGAUGAGUUGUGAGUAGUUUACCACAGACCUACGGGUCCAUAGUUAUUAGCUCGAUGGCUUCUUCUCUCUUUUUGGAUCUCAAUACAAUGUUCUCCCCCUCUCUUGUGGAGAUCUAUUUGAUGUAAACUCUUUUUGCGGUGUGUUUGUUAAGAUCCGAUGAAUUGUGGGUUUAUGAUCAAGUUUAUCUAUGAAUAAUAUUUGUAUCUUCUCUAAAUUCUUUUAUGUAUGAUUGAGUUAUCUUUGCAAGUCUCUUUGAAUUAUCAGUUUGGUUUGGCCUACUAGAUUGGUCUUUCUUGCCAUGGGAGAAGUGCUUAGCUUUGGGUUCAAUCUUGCGGUGUCCUUACCCAGCGACAGAAAGGGUUGCAAGGCACGUAUUGUAUUGUUGCCAUCGAGGAUAACAAGAUGGGGUUUAUAUCAUAUUGCAUGAGUUUAUCCCUCUACAUCAUGUCAUCUCGCUUAAUGCGUUACUCUGUUCUUAUGAACUUAAUACUCUAGAUGCAUGCUGGAUAGCGGUCGAUGUGUGGAGUAAUAGUAGUAGAUGCAGGCAGGAGUUGGUCUACUUGUUAUGGACGUGAUGCCUAUAUACAUGAUCAUGCCUAGAUAAUCUCAUAACUAUUCGUUUUUCUAUCAAUUGGUCGACAGUAAUUUGUUCACCCACCGUAAUACUUAUGCUAUCUUGAGAGAAGCCUCUAGUGAAACCUAUGGCCCCCGGGUCUAUCUCUUAUCAUAUUUGCUUUCAAUCUACUUUUAUUUGCAUCUUUACUUUUUUGCAUCCAUAUUAUAAAAUACCAAAAAUAUAUAUAUCUUGUCAUACUAUCUUUAUUAGAUCUCACUUUCACAAGUGGCCAUGAAGGGAUUGACAACCCCUUUAUUGUGUUGGUUGCGAGUUCUCAGUUUGUUUGUGUAGGUGUGUGGGACUUUUGAGGAGCCUCCUACUGGAUUUAUACCUUGGUUCUCAAAACUGAGGGAAAUACUUACGCUACACUUGCUGCAUCACCCUCUCCUCUUCGAGGAAAACCAACGCAAGCUCAAGACGUAGCAGACCAUGUUGUUCGGACACCGGAAGCGUUAUAGAGAGUUUCGGAUACAACCAGAGUGCCGGAAGGGGUUACCGAAACCCCCGGGAGAACUAAUGGGCCUGUAUGGGCCUUAGUGGGAAGAGAGGAAGGUCCAGGAGGGGCUGGCCGCCCCCUGGGUCGGAAUUUGACUAGGGGAAGGGGCGGCGCCCCCCUUUCCUUCCCUUCCCCCUCUUCCUUCCUUCCCCCUCUUUCCCUCUUGGUGGAUUCCUACUAGGACUUGGAGUCCUAGUAGAAUUCCCCUCUUGGGGCGUGCACUAGGGGCCGGCCAGCCCUCCCCUCCUCCAUCCUUUAUAUACGGGGGAGGGGGCACCCCAUAGACUCCAAGAUUUGUCUUAGCCGUGUGCGGUGCCCUCCUCCACAGUUACAUACCUCGGUCAUAUCAUCGUAGUGCUUAGGCGAAGCCCUGCGCCGGUAACUUCACCAUCACCGUCGCCACGCCGUCGUGCUAAUGGAACUCUCCCUCGGCCUCAACUGGAUUAAGAGUACGAGGGACGUCACCGAGCUGAACGUGUGCAGAUCGCGGAGGUACCGUGCGUUCGGUACUUGAUCGGUUGGAUCGCGAAGACGUUCGACUACAUCAACCACGUUACUUAACGCUUCCGCUUUCAGUCUACGAGGGUACGUGAACACACUCUCCCCGCUCGUUGCUAUAUGCUUCUCUUAGAUAGAUCUUGCGUGAUCGUAGGUAAAAAAUUUGAAAUACUAUGUUCCCCAACAUGUCGGUGGUUGAUAAACUAGUAUCGGCGGUCCUUAUGAACUGUGACAAUCAAACUGUGAUUUGUGAUUGCCAAGGCUAAGAGUUCAAAGGACAACUUGAAAUCCACAAAGCACAUAAGAAGAAGAUUGAAAUCCAUCCGGCAUUCUAGAAACUCCGGAGUGAUAACAUUGGAUUACAUCCAAACAACUAAGAAUCUGGUGGAUCCCUUCACGAAAGGGCUAUCACGGAUUGUGAUAGAAAAUGCAUCGAGGGAGAUGGGUAUGAGACCCACGUAAGUUUCCACGAGGGUAACCCAACCUAUGUGAUCGGAGAUCCCAUGAAUUAAGACAUGGGAUAACAAUACAUUUGUCAACUAAGGAGAGUAUUCUUUAUUAACCAACUCCGUUGGAGAUGCAAUAAUACUCUCAAUUAUGUAAGGCAGGCUGAUUUUUGUCUUAACGUGUUCCAAAGCUUGUGUAAGCAAGAUGCAAACCUAUAGAGCAUUCUUUGAAGUAACACACCUAUGUGAGCCCGACUGCGUGUCACAGUCUAUGAGAUUGGGUAAUCUCUAGGAAGCUCGUGAGAAGGUGCGGAGUAUGACUAAUAAGCUCCACCCGUGGGGUUUUGCCUUCGGCAGCCAUGUAUCAGCUGACAAUAGGCGAAACUUCUGCACGCCAAACUGAUAAUUCAAGGCAUAGUCCAUUGUUCAGUUGUGAAGAAGUCUAAUCCUGUUGCUCAAGGUGGAAGUUCAACUUAACAGUCUCCAGUUAUAAAACAUUGUUUGAAACAGUUAACAAACUUAUGUGUCUCGAGAUCUGGUGGGGGAUUGUUGAAUCAUGGAUGGGCUUUAGGCCCAUAUGAACAAUGAUUCCUGGUUAAUCCUGAGUCCCAUGUAGGAUAUGGCAGGUGGUGGAAAGUUUAGUACCACCUUGCUAGUUGAGGAGAGUUGAGACCCCUUUGUAAGGCCUGCUCUACCACUUGCCAUUGGGAGCUUCGGAAGAGGAGUGGUACACGCGCGCUCCUCCUCCGCCGCCGCCCGCCUCGCCACGACGCGCGGGUUGCAUGAGUGAGACGAGACGAAGCUUGUUUUUACCGGUCACGAACUGAUUUAUUAAUCUAGGAUUAAUUAACGACUGUUUACUCGUGGAUUAGUCUCGGAAAAGUGCUAAUAUAUCCAACAGUAACUUAUUAUUUCCCUGCUUUGUGUUGGAUUUUGCAUCCACCCUCAUCGAAGCAUCACAUCAUUGAUCGAGAAAGUAACUCAGGAAUAUAAAAAUACCUUAGGGAUGAGCGACAUUGGGGAAAAUGCUAACCUAGAUAGCCUAUUUGUUGUACCAAAUUUUCUCUUGGGCAUGAACCUGAUGAGCUUAUAGCAUUCCCCCAGUCUUCCCAUUUGCGUCUAUCUUCCUUUUCUUGAUUUGAUACUGACGAGGACCACAUGUACAACCUACUCCUCCAUCUGGUACCUUUGCUGGCAAGGCCUCCGUUGUGCGCCGACAAUGCCCACAUAGAGCUUGAUCUGGCGACUCCUUCCUCUUCAAGUGCCAUGCAUGGAUCUAUUUGUCAAGGAGAACAUCCAGUAUGAGUUGCAUAACCCGAGGAGGGGGCUGGGCACCUGAGCAACCCAAGACAUUCGAUCAGAAAGGCUAGCACCUAUUUCAUGUUUAGUAGAGUAACCAUGUGCUUAUUGACCAAUUUCUAGAUUAUAAAAUUUCAAUUUGUAUAGACCCUUAGGAGUCAUUGGAUGGGUAGGUCGCUUAAUCUAGACCUGGAUGUGACGAUUUUGAGAAUUUCUCUUUGGUCAAACACUCUUUGUAAAUUGUAAUUUGAACCUGAUGUUGCAUUAUCUUUUAGACUAUGCAUGGCUUCCUCAUCCAAAAUACCCUGCCUUUUAUAGUGGAGUACAUGACAUUGUUGAGUGCACUUGUGUUCAUAUAGAUGGAGUCAAGUGUAAGAUGUGAUUGUUUAGUGAACAAUUAUAGCACUCGCUGCAAGCCAUCUUUCAUUUUUAUAGCAAGUGUAAGAUGGAGUCAAGUGUAAGAUGUACUUUUUACCUUUUUAAAGGUAACCAUGGUGCAUCUUAACAUUUUGCCCUCACCCUUUCCGCCCAAAAAAAGUAACCAUGGUGCAUCUUGUUAAGAGAUUGCAGUAUUUCUUAUGCGGGUGUACUGAUGGCUGAAGCUCUGGCCCUAUAAUGCGGCCUAUCGAUGGCGCAAAGGACAUGAUACAACCACAUCAUUAUUAACUCAGAUAAUAUGGAGGUGAUCGACACCACGAAGGAAGGAGGACGAUCAUCGGGAGCACCAAUGGCAAUUUUUUUUGUUUUUUUCAUUUAACUUGUGACUUUCCCAUUUCUAGAUUUGAGCACUAUAGUAGAGAAACAAAUAAAGUCACUCAUGAACUUGCCAAAUUAGCUAGAUUUUCUUUCAUUUCUGAAUGGUUCAAGGAACUAAAUAGUGACAUUGUACCAAUCCUCAUAAACGAUGUAAUAGUUAUUCCUAAUGAAUAAAGCUCGAUUUUCUUUCAAAAAAAAGAAAGAGAUUGCAGUAUUUCUUAUUGUCCAACCCACUUUCUGGUACCUACAAAUCUAUCUAUCCACCAAAGUCACUUCUCUUGAUGUACCUUACCAGGACAAUUAAGAUUAACAAAUAUGUAAUGCAAAUGAUUUUCAUCCCGUGAGUAAAGUCAUACCUACUUGUCUGGCAUACCGUACAUUCUUUCUUUCUACAUAUGCUCGAUGAAGGAUGUCAUGCAAUGCAAGGAGUGGCCCAUGUAGUGAAGCUAUCAAAGACGCAGCAUGUGUUAUUCUCUUGUAUUGGAUUUUGCAUCCACCCUCACGAAAGUAUCACAUCUUUGAGCGGAAAGGCAACUCCGAAAUAUGAUAAUACCCCCGGGAUGUGAGACAUUGGGAAAACAAUUCAAUCUAGUCGCCCUCUUAAGAGUACAAUACUUUUCUUUGUGCUUAAAUUUGGUGAGUUUGAAGGCACUCCGUCCAUCUUCCCAGUUGUGUCUAUCUUCUGUUCCCCGAUUCGGGAUCGAAGAGUACACCCCACUUCUCCAUCUGGUGGCUUUGCUGAUGGGUGGCGGGCCACGAGCUAACAACGGACACAUCGGGCUCUAUUUGGUGACUUUUUCCUUGGUGUGCGCCUAGCAUAAAUGUUCAUUUGCUCCAUGUGUGCUUAUUUGCCUGUUUUUUUUCAAAAUAAUUAUCUGCCUGUUUUGGGAUUAUAACAUUUCGGUUUGAUAGAAUCUUAGGAGUAUUUGGAUGUGGUAGGUCGCUUAAGCUAAACCUGAUUUGAAUCCAUAUCCUCCUACUCAAACAUGGUUCCAAUGGGCAAAUAUCCACAGAGCAAAUUAAUUCACUCACAUGUCGAUUUUGCAAAUGAGAUUCUCACUCCAGCAACAACAAAAUAAUCAGUCCAACAACCACACACAAGCAUUCUAUUUAUUUCAUACUUCCAAAGCAAGAAAAACGCUACAGAAGUAUAUUAGAAUAUACUGCAUGCUUCAUACAGAGCAACGAUGGCUGACCAAUGUACAGAUGCAGAAUACCAAGAGAGAUUUCAUGCUCAAUAGAAACUCUGCACGAAGAAAGGCGGGUUGGUUCUCAACUUUGAAUAAAUUGUAUGCAAGAAUUUUAAAUCACGAGAGAAGGAAGUUGUAAUUGUUCGCUUUAGUGCCACACAUAGCUGGGCCAGCAGACCAGAACACAGUUAAUGAACAUACAAUAGCAACUUGGAGCAGCAACAACACCUUGUGUUACCGAAAAAGGGUUUCCCCCCGCUUUGUAUUCCAAAGCACCAACACCGAGUACAGAGAUCGCUGUGGCAAGCAGCACAACACACCAAAAGAAAAGGAAGAAGAAACAAAUGCCAGCUACGGCAGCUCGGCAAAGCACGGAUGACCCGCCACCGCGGCGCCCACCGGAUAAAAACCACCACAGACCGAGGUUCCGAACCGCCGCGUACCAAGCAGCACCUCCAAGAAGGAAUGCGACGCCGACGACGCUGCUACCCGGACGAGUCCUAGGGUUUCCCCCGGCACGCGGAGGGAGGUGGGGGGUGAAUACCACCGACACCCUCCAGGAAGGAAUGGUGGCACCCGCAGGUGUCACCGCGUCGGGGCCGAAGCCGGCAGGGAUUUCUCCCGCAUUCCCAGACCCAACCGCCCAACCGGAUGAAACCAACCCGCCAAACCGUCGCCCACCCCCAUGCGCCAACGCAGAAACGCCGCCACCAACGCCGCCUCACUACAAACACCACCACGAGGCCAAGAGGACCGGAGAGAAGCGCACCACGACGGGAGCAGCAACACCGACGCCGAGCGGGAGGGAACCACCUCCACCGCCGUCAUGCGGGAGGCCCAUGCCUCCGGCACCAUCGCAGUAGCUAUCCGGACAUGGCCGCGGGGCAUGCCGGGCCACCCCUGGCCCAGCCAGGCCCGCAGUGGGCCCGUUAAGCCCCGCCGGCCAUGAUGCAGCAGGUCGGCGUCGGCGCCGCCAGCACCCAGCCACUCGUCGCGUCUCCCCCGCCUCCUAGAAGCCACGCCGGAGACGAUCCCCGCCGCCGGCCCGCCCAAGCCCAGAUGGGGCCCGAAGGGCCCCGAUCUGGACCGAGCGGACGACACCAGAUCGCGCCGCCCCGCCGCCAACGGCGGCCCCGCCGCCCAGCUGUCCGCCUGCGUCGCGCGACAGAGCCCCGUCGCCACGCCAGACCAUCACCGCCGAAGAGCACCCCCGGAGCAGCUCCGCCCGCGCCGGAGAGCGACCGAGAGGGGAAGGGCAGGGAGGCCGCCGUCACCAUCAGCCCCGGGGCAGGCCGGCCGCGGGCGCCGGCGACGGCGGCGAGAGGGAGGGAGGGAGGGGAUGGCUGGAGGGAGGAGGAGGGACGCGCGGCCAGUCGCCCGCGGGGGGGCGACGCGGUCGCGGGAGAGGGGGGGCUCUCACUUCGCCCCUUCCACCAGACAAUGUUUUCACCAACACCUUGUGUUAUAACAUGGCUUGUGAGUGUAGAAAUACAUGACAAUGUAGUUCCCAUCUUAUUAGAAUUAUACUUCGUCAUCUAUUUAGUAAUGUAUAAGACACAUGGCAAUAGUGAAAAAACAAAUAGAAUAAUGGACCAUUUUUGUGAAGGUCUGGCGACCAAAGAUUCCAGUGUCAUGACUCAUGAGAUCAGAUGUGUCAUCAAUGAUAAGCUUGCAGUCAUAUGUUCAUAGCCACAUCCUUUUUUGGCUAUUUAGGUUAUCAUAAACAGACACGUUCAUACACAACAGGACAGACCAAUGGAUCUCAAUGGCGUAAUCUUGAUGAAAUAUCCAAUAUUCUGCUAUUGUAGUUCCCAUCAUUAUUCAGAAAUGUUGUCUCGACAAGCCCAAAGUAGAAGCAAUGAUCAACUAGAUAGGGAAAUCUCCUAAUGCCCCCGCUUAUAACAGGGAACUCUGGAACAACAGCAAAAGAAACGAAUCCGUCUCUUCUCAGAAUUAAUAGCUCUAAGCUUGACAAACAAAUCUUUAUGUACUGGAUUGCAAAACUCACAAGACUGUGCAAGGAGUUAUAUAAUACUCCAAAUUAAUAGCUUUGGUACCAAGGCCGUCCUCACAGAUGGAAAAGGACACAUAUGCUUUCAUCUCUAACUGAAAUUAUCAAAAUAUAAAUAGCCAAAGGACAAUACGGGUGAGCCCUUUAGCUGUAUCUUGUGUUGACCUGCUAGACCAAGUUUGUCGUAUGUACUGUUGGUAAAUUUGAAUCAGAUAGAUUAUCGACACCAGCUAAGCUUGGCUAGUGAUGAACUGAUAACCUCCAUCAGAUCCAAGCUAGUCUGAAGUACUUCAACUGCAGCUCAAACUAAGUGGACUAGAAGUAUAGGAAUGUUGGUACUUACUAGCUUACCCCGCGCGGCGACACGCCGCGCCCGGCGACCAGUCGUGACAUGUAGACUAUAGUCCGCAAUAGAGUAAUAAAUAAUUCAUGAAGACAACUAUCAACAGUCAAUGUGCCGGAUAACAUUUAAAUAUGUACAUGAAGGAUUCAUGUUUUCACAAAACAAUUCAAGGAGUUUAAGCACCAAGAUAUCAACAGAGUGAUGUAUUAUCAAUGUGUCAUACUCCCUCCGUUUCUAAAUAUAAGUUUUUGGAGAGAUUUCACUAUGAACCACAUACGGAUGUAUGUAGAUGCAUUUUAGAGUGUAGAUUCACUCAUUUUGCUCCGUAUGUAGUCCAUAAUGAAAUCUCUACAAAGACUUAUAUUUAGGAACAGAGGGAGUACAUCGAUUCCGCAGAUAUCUCAACUUCAAAUCCAAAAGAAAGAAAGGUAUAACAACCAUUUCGACCUUAUUCAAUGGUAAGUAUCAUGCAUACUUUUUUGGUGCUUCUCGCCGGAAGCACUUUCGUGGAAGGAACACCAUUCAGAAGAUAAUUCCGCUCUAAAAGAAAGAAAGUUUUACCAACUAAUUCGGCCUUAUCCAAUGGUAAUGUUGUGCAGGCCAUUUUGGCACUUCUCACUUAAAGCACUACUAUGAAAGAACAAUGUAUACAAUAAUCUGAACUGCAGUACUAUCAUGAAAAGGAACAUAUUACAGAAAAACUCACAUGGAACACUAAAUUAGCCAGUCCAAGUAAUGUACAAUGAAGCUGCUCAUGCAUAAACAUGACAGUAAAUGAAAAACCUGAAAUUUUAAUACUUCCCUACCACGGUACCAAGAAUACACGAAACACACAUGUGCGUGGAAAGUCAAACAAAACCAACUCAUUCAUGCUUUGAAGUCGGAGCUACGUUGGAGCGUGCCCAGUGGUGACGAUGACAGACAUUCGGUGGCCGUUUGCGGUGGGCAUGGUCGGCGCAAGUCCUGCAUAUUUCCCUUGUGUUGUUCGUCGUCAAAGUCGGAGCUGUCGGUUGCUUGCGCGUGUGGCCAUCCAUUGGCAUGUGCCGUCAUGUCUUGUUCCAUGUCGGUGGCCAGGUUGGCCGGUGGUGCCCAUUCAUGUGGGUUGUGAUGUAUCGGUUUUAGCCCGGUUUUCCAUCAAUUAAUCGGGCAAUUCUCUUCUUCUUAAUCAAUUAAAAUGACAAGUCUUUUACCUCGUUUCGAAAAAAAAAUGUUUUGCUGGAAAUUAACGAACCUUGGAGGAUUGAGAUGUUGUUUCCCUGCACCCCUUGUUCUUCGCUGCAUGCGGUCCCAACUUCCACACAUUAAUCCUCUGCUUGGAGAUUAGAAGAUCUUGGACGUGGCCAUUUCCUCUCUAUAUACAAUUCCCCCAAUAUAUAUAAGCAAAAUGAUACAAAAGGUUCGCCAAAAAAUCAAACUCUCUAUGUACGGUCCUCCCAAUAUGUAAUAAAAUGAUACGAAAGGUUAGCCAAAAAUCAAACAGCCUGCCGGUGAAGGAGCAUUGUUGUUGGCUGCUGGGUUGCUUUGAAGAUGGUUUUCAUCUUGGAAAAUAAAUGGUAGAAUUUGCCUGACCAUAUUAGCAGAGCGUACCCCUUCAUCAUUGACCCCACACAUUUCAAGUACUGCUUCUACAGGCUCAAGUAAAAGCACUGGUACAUGCUUACUUGUACCAUUUGCUCGGGGAAUUACUCCAAGAAAUGGUGAUCGGAUCCAUCAAAAACCAACUAUCCACUAAGAAAUAGGACCCUAGCCGUUCUGCUGACCAUGGGAAGUCUGAGAAGUGCUCCCCGCAUGGACAUCGACCAGGUGUCUUAUAUUACCUAAAGCAAAACCCAUUGAUGAGGAAAGCACUAUUGUUUGAAACAAUAAAAUGUAAUCAUGUAGACCAGGAUACCGUUGACCAGCAUGCGAAGACUUAUCAAAGAAUGUCAUGCAAAACGUGACGCUAACUCAGUUAUGUGAAGCGUAGUAAGAUCAUGGGGUACAGGUGAUUGUUUCAUAGGGUUUUAAGAACUUAACUAUCAACAAUAACCUGAACAUUGAGUAACCAAGAUUGUAGACCAUAUGUGAUUGAGUGGUAGCACAAAGCUUGCAUCUUGGUUGUUCCUUCUCUCCCUUCUCUGUUUUACUCUCUUACAAACAUUCUGAAUUUUUAACAUUUGCAUGCAGUUUCUGAACUGAACUUCGUGCAGGUAGACCAUCUCAUUGUUGCCUAUUCUAGAUGUGUACAACAUAAGCAAAAGAUAUAACAAUAAUGUACUCCCUCCAUCCCAAAAAAAGUGUCUCAGUUUUGUACUAACUUUAGUAUAAAAUUGUACUAAGGUUGAAACACUUAUUUUAAGACGGAGGGAGUACAACAUUGCAAUACAGUCAAGAUCUAAGAACUGAUCUCCUGCUUUACAAUCUCAUCAAAACAGCCGCAUCCUUCCAUGAUCAAAAUCUCAUUGCCUAUAUGCAAUAGUUCAGUUAGUACAGCAGCAAAUGAGUUCCUGCCUUCCUGGGCAACUAUGAUGCAAAUUUGUUAGGAUUGCCUUCAUAUGCAACUCCGCUGUUCCAUUCAUCUUUGGAACUGCUAAUCUAGUUCAGGUUUGCAUCAGCUUGCACCAAGCUCUCGUGACAGUUACACAACCAUGGGAUUCUUCCAGGUUAAAUCAACAAUAACAUCACGCCAUGCACCCUUUGAAGGGAAGAAAACUGACCAACCUGAAAUUGAAAAGCUACAAUGUUUUUUCAGUAAUGUGCAGCAAAAAUCCAUCCAUCUCGUGCUUCUAGAGGGGCUUCUUUUUUACAAUUUUUCUCUUCUUCACCCUACAGUAAAGUUCUGUCACAGUUAGGAAACAAUACUUUCCAAAUUUUUAUUUUCUAAAAAAGAAAGCAAUAGCUUCAAAGGCAGAGAAAAGCAAAAAAUAUCCAAUCGCAUUAGUCACUUGGCAAUAAAAAUAUCUUGCUUGGUAUGUGGUGGGCGAAGGGGUUUCCUGACCAAGUUGAAUCGACAACAUGGCACCCGCACCUUGGAAAAUCGUUUGCAUAGUUUUGAGACCCUUGUUCCGGAGCAUUACCUGUUCUGCAUGUAUGACGAUCAUUAUGACUUCUUCGUAACAGAUUAGAAUAGAAUAAGAGCAAAUAAGUAGAAUAAAUAAGUAAAACACUAAUGCUUACUGGUCUGGUGAUGUUUUACUCAGUCCUCUGUGUUGGUCGGGGGAUAGAUCAAAUAGACCCUGGUUUUGCUGGAGCUUGAAAUCCACUGAACUUACAACAUCCAAAGAAGGCUCACCCUGGACCGACAAGAUUACCUUCUAUUUAUCCGUAGCCUUCCCAGGUUGAAGAAAGUUUAAAUGAGGAUAAAUGGAAUAUGACAUGUACAGUAUAUGAAGCAGUACCAGUUCAGUAUAUUCUACAAGGAUACACAUUCAAGAUCCGUGAGGACAACAAUUUAAGGCUACUGGAAAAAAAAUAAAAAUUCUUCAGCAUCAAAACCAUGGAAAUUAAUGGUGGAUACACCAACUACCUUGGCCAACCCAAUUUAUUGUAGGGCUUGGAAUUAUUUAAAUUAAAGCCAAAAACAUGUCUAAACAGCAAUAAGAAAAAUUAAUCAAGAUUACCAUUUUCAAGGCUGUAGAACUGCAGCUAAAAACAACCGGUGUACUUACAACUUGCGCCAGAAUUAAUAAGAAGCAUGGUUGAUUAAGGACGCCGAUAAGUGCCACACGUGUGGGCGUUAGGAAGUCCGCCCACAUAUUUUGUGUGGUGUAUACGAGGAACAGUCCACAUAUCUACGUGUGGGCAAAACAAGUAAUGCCCACACACCUCUUUUUUCCCUCUCGAUCCCUUUCACACGCGUGCGUGUGGGCAAAGUUGAUAACGCCCACACACCCAUAUGUCAGGCCUCGUACCUCCUAGUCUCGCACGCCACGCGUAAUGGUCACCGCAUGCCCGCAGUUGCCAUGGUCCAGACCCUCGUCCUUGUUCCUUUAACUGCAGUUGCCAUGUCGCUGAACUACGGUUGCCAUGUCGGACAACUGCAGUUGCCAUGAUUGCUCAACUGCAGUGGCCAUGUAUGGUCUAAUCUAAUGUAGUUGCCAUGAUUUCAUAACUUUAGGAGUUGCCACAUACUAACAAUAGACAGUUAAGAGAAUUGCCAUGUGCUCACAAGCAUGCUAGGACAGUUGCCAUGUAAAAGGCAGAGUUGUCAUCUGCUUACGUACACGUUAGGACAGUUGCCAUGUACCAUGCAAAAACACAUGGCAACUCAGUAAAAAAGAGUUGUCAUCUGCUUACGUGCACAUUAGGCAGUUGCCGUGUACCCUGCAAAACACAUGGCAACUCGGGUAAAAAGAGAGUUGUCACCUGCUUAUAAAACACACUAGGGACAGUUGUCAUGUGCACUGCAAAGCACAUGGCAACUAGCAGCUUGGGUGUGGGAGAGGAGACGAGUGUGUGGGCGAGAUGGCAAAUGCCCACACACCAGGCCUUGUGUGUGCGUGCAAAGUGGCAUGUGAGCGAACUGCUGAACGUCCACACACCAGCCCCUCUUGUGUGGUGAAACGGCCGUGUGGGCGACCGGAUGAACGCCCACACACCAGGCCAGUCCUACGUGGCACUAGAAAUAUGCCAAAAUUCAUGCGCUCAUGAACGGACGCGGAUCCACGCGUGUGGGCGAGAUGCAAACGCCCACACGUGUGGGCGUUAACAUUUCCGUUGAUGAAUUAGUGAGGAUGGAUUAAAUAUGGGCACCCACAACCUCAAGUGUGCUCCCAGGUCAAUAGAAGCAAACACGGACACACGCACCCACCACGCAGCACGCACACAAACACACUCGGCGUACUGUGCACUGCACCAAGCCAUGCAUCACACACUAAGACACGAUACAACGGCACAACGCGAGCUGUGCACGUACUCUAUGCAGCGGCAGCCCCCGCAAGCUGGAAGUAUGCGACGCAGCGCCCGGGGCGGUAGGACGCACGACCAAGAGAGCGAGGAUGAGGCAGCCGCCAUGCGAGCUCUAUGCUGAAGUUCACAUGGAGGCAGGGCGACAGGGAGCUGGAGCGCCUCCUAGCGUCGUUUCGACGGGGCGCCGGCGGCCUGGCAUGCAUGAGGUCGACACGGCGAGCACGGGCUAGAGCUGGGUUGGAUGGGAUCCAGGCACCAACGGGUUGGGCGAGCUCGAGGCCUCGAGGUCGAGAACGCCGACGCCUCGGCCUCGGCGUCGACACGGCAGAAGCAGUCCCUUCUUGGAGUCCAGAGAGCUCAGGUCAUUGAAGGCACCGGCGCGGUCCUCUGCAGUACGCAGCUCCUCGGCGACCGCGGCAUGUAGCAUGUCAUGUCCUAGCAGUAGACAGUGACCUGAGCGCCACCAUCGCCGUCGUACACGCCGAUGAAGUGUCGUGGGGAUGCGGAAUGAGGUCGCUUAUUUGGUAGAAGCAUGGGACGACGACGAUGGCCUCCUCCAUCUCCGGGCAACGUCCGCAGCAGGACUCGAGACGCUUCCGCGUGCGCCACCAGAAACCGUCGCGGUCUCGGCAGCCACCGCAGACAGGACGUGGAGAGGAGAUAGGGCGGUCCGGCAUCGGCGGAGGCGACGCUGUUGCCGCGUCACUGGCGACGCAGCAAGCGCUCCCUCACGCGGACCCCCCUUCGUCUGGCCCGGCGUCCCAACGAUGGCGACGUAGCAGGCAGGCUAUCCGGGUGCCUGGCCGUCGCCGCGCGCGUCAACCUCCGUAGCCAGCCACCACUCACGCUCGGCCUGCUACCGGUGACGCCCACCUCCAGCGCCGGCAAUCGGAACGACCACAGGUCCACCAUGGCCGACUCUAGGUCCUCGGCCCUCACGGUGCUCGCCACGUCCGGGCCGUUCUGCAUCAAUAAUCUUCCCCAGCAGGCGAUGAAGCGGUAGGCCUCGUUACAGCCUAGCUUCUUGGAGCUGAGCACGGGCCUGUCGCAGCGGUCGUAGGCCUGCACUUGCACGCACUGGUUCUCCUCUGCCGUCAGGGCCUUGUCCAGUGGGAACGGCUAGCCGCAGCGCCAGCUCUUGCACCGCAUGAGCAGCCGGUGCUGCUUCAGCACCUGGUCCGUCCCAGGAAGGCGACCCCGACGAUGCAGACCAGCACGAACGGAAGUAGGACGAACCAUCACUAAUGCGACCACGAAUGAACACGCAGCCCAAACCG
RNAcentral lists this long non-coding RNA (38015 nucleotides) under Triticum aestivum (bread wheat). Its description in RNAcentral is "long non-coding RNA (TAES_LNC009118)". The record is from RNAcentral. Lineage: Eukaryota; Viridiplantae; Streptophyta; Magnoliopsida; Poales; Poaceae.